GGGCCAGUAAUUCAACCUGGUAGAAUGCCGCUUUCGCAUAGCGGAUGUUUUGGGUUCAAAUCCCAACUGGUCCA
Molecule: transfer RNA, 74 nt
Filed under: Candidatus Woesearchaeota archaeon
Lineage: Archaea; Nanobdellati; Candidatus Woesearchaeota
Description: tRNA-Ala
Rfam family: tRNA
About the family: Transfer RNA (tRNA) molecules are approximately 80 nucleotides in length.
Source: RNAcentral